UCGAUGAAGAACGCAGCGAAAUGCGAUAAGUAAUGUGAAUUGCAGAAUUCAGUGAAUCAUCGAAUCUUUGAACGCACAUUGCGCCCCUUGGUAUUCCGAGGGGCAUGCCUGUUCGAGCGUCAUUAUGACCACUCAAGCCUAGCUUGGUAUUGGGGUUCGCGGUCUCGCGGCCCUUAAAAUCAGUGGCGGUGCCAUCUGGCUCUAAGCGUAGUAAUUUAUCUCGCUAUUGGGUCCGGUAGUUGCUUGCCAACAACCCCCAACUUCUAAGGUUGACCUCGGAUCAGGUAGGGAUACCCGCUGAACUUAA
RNAcentral lists this ribosomal RNA (307 nucleotides) under uncultured Rhizoscyphus. Its description in RNAcentral is "eukaryotic LSU rRNA". The stretch from base 1 to 122 matches the Rfam family "5.8S ribosomal RNA", at positions 33 to 154 of the family's 154-position model. Lineage: Eukaryota; Fungi; Ascomycota; Leotiomycetes; Helotiales; Helotiaceae. The record is from RNAcentral.